GGUAGGAGCCGGCUUGCUGGCGAUCGCAUCACCGCGGUGCAGCUGAUGCGCCGCGGUGAUGCGAUCGCCAGCAAGCCGGCUCCUAUG
Molecule: unclassified non-coding RNA, 87 nt
Filed under: Pseudomonas migulae
Lineage: Bacteria; Pseudomonadati; Pseudomonadota; Gammaproteobacteria; Pseudomonadales; Pseudomonadaceae
Source: RNAcentral